CCCGGACCGCAGCAUCGCAACACCUAGCUUUGUACCUGUGUGGGCGGACAGAGACGUGACUUCUAGCGGUAAGAAGAAGGGAGGUGGGAUUGCGCUGUAUGUGAAUGAGCGGUGGUGCAACCCUGGACACAUCUGCGUCUAUGUACCCCAAAUGUGGAGCUAUUGGCUGUAGGAUUGCGUCCUUAUUAUUUGCAGAGGGAGUUCACUUCCCCCAUUGUGAUCACCGUCUACUUCCCCCCAUCAGCCGACGCUGAGGUGGCUGCUGACGUCAUCAACACCACUGUCUCCCGUCUGCAGGCGCAGCAGCCUAAUUUGUUUAUGGUGAUUAAUGGGGACUUCAGCCACGUCACCUUGGACAGAACACUUACAGACUUCACCCAGUAUGUUGAUUGUCACACCCGUGACACCCGCAAUGCAUACAGUACAACUGCCUACCCCCACUAGGCAGGUCUGAUCACAACCUUGUCCUGCUCAUCCCAGUACGUCCCUCUUGUCCAACGGCAGCCUGUGUCCAAAAGGAAUAAGGAAGUGGACACAGGAGUCUGAGGAGGCCCUGCAGGACUGCUUUGAGUUCACCGACUGGGAGGCCCUCUGUCAGCCUCAUGGGGAAGAUAUCAGCAGCAUGGCAGACUGCAUCUCAGAUUAUAUCAAAUUCUGUGAGAACUCUGUCAUACUCCCCAGCACUGCCUGCUGUUUCGCCAACAAUAAACCAUGGAUCACCAACGACCUGAAGAUUCUCACUACACUUCUCCCCCCUGUCACUCCCCCCAAAGGCUGCAGGACCUGAUGGCAUCAGCCCCAGGACACUGAGGACCAGUGCCGGCCAGGUGUCUGCUGUUCUCCAACAUCUCUUCUUCCUGAGCCUCAGCCUGGAGGGGGUACUGCAUCUGUUGAAGGCCUCCUGCCUUGUUCCCGUUGCCAGGAAGUCAUCUCCAUCUGGCCUCAGUGAUUACCGUCCAGUGACCCUUACAUCCCAUGUACUGGUGCUGGAGAGGUUGGUGCUGGUCCACCUAAGGCCACAGGUGAGAUGGUCUUUAGACCCCCUACAGUUUGCCUACCAGCCGAGUCUGGGGGUGGAUGACGCUGUCAUCUAUCUGCUGCAGCUCACUCACUCACUCACACCUGGAUGGUGGUGGAGGCUCAUUGAGAAUCACUUUCUUUGAUUUCUUCAGCGCCUUCAACACCAUCCAGCCUUUGUUGCUGGGUGGGAAGCUGCAGUUGAUGGGUGUUGGUGCAUCCACUGUCUCCUGGAUCACUGACUACCUGACAGACAGGCCACAGUUUGUGCGUCUGGGAAGUGUCCUGUCUGACGUGGUGGUGAGUGGUGUGGGAGGCCGACAGGGGACUGUGCUCACUCCUUUACUGUUCACCUUAUACACCACUGACUUUCAACACAACUCUGAGUCAUGACACAUCCAGAAAUUUUCUGAUGACUCUGCAGUUGUGGGGUGUAUAAGCGGUGGAGGAGGAGUAUAAAGGACUGGUGGACAGAUUUGUGGAGUGGGCUGGAGGAAUCACCUGCUGUUUAACUUGGACAAGACCAAAGAGAUGGGGAUUGACUUCAGGAGGAAGUGAACAGAUCCUCAGCCCCUCAGCAUCCUUGGCAGGGAUGUGGAUGUGCUGAAGGAGUACAAAUACCUAGGAGUGACCAUCGACAGCAGACUGAACUGGAGGACCAACAGUACAGCUGUGUACAAGAAGGGCUGCAGCAGACUCUACUUCCUGAGGAAGCUGAGAUCCUUCACCGUGUGCAGUAAGAUGCUGGAGAUCUUCUACUAGUCUGUUGUGGCCAGCACCCUCUGGCUCUGUAAUUGGCUACACACAGGAAACUUUUGAAGUGGUGGUGGAGAGGAGGACACUAAACAAACUGUUAUCAAUCAUGGAUAAUCCUGGCCAUCCUCUCCACCAGACGAUAGACAGACAACAGAGCUCCUUCUCCAAGAGACUUAGAGAACUCCGUUGUCUCAAAGAACACUACAGGAAAUCAUCCCUGCCUCAAUUUACACGCCUGUUUAAUUCCUCAUCGAUUGGGCGGACAUGAAAACACACGUGCAGUAUACCAAUGUCAACGUAUGCAGACGCAGCUAGGGGGAGAAUUUCUCAAGUUCAUCUUGGACCAGUUGCUGUUAUCUGACAACAGUCUGUUAUAUGAACCCAAGGCUCCUUCAGGAACCUCUGAUGAGCAACUGAGAGAGUUCAUUAAUCUGAGUUGAUUAGAUUGAAACCAAGUGAUCAGUUGUUGAGUGUUAAAGUAUCAGCUGUUAAAUAUCAGAUGUAAGGAGAGUGUUGGAGCUGAACGAGAGGAGAUUCUACAGUCGGCACUUGAAGCUCCUUCAAGAGUUUUUGACAUUGUUGUUUCAUGCAAUAAACCUCUUUUAAA
This is a long non-coding RNA of Mugil cephalus (flathead mullet), 2380 nucleotides long. RefSeq lists it as uncharacterized. The record is from RefSeq and is a predicted model, not a curated record. Lineage: Eukaryota; Metazoa; Chordata; Actinopteri; Mugiliformes; Mugilidae. The transcript has 3 exons.